GUAGGUGAACCUGCGGAAGGAUCAUUACAUCGUUUUGUCGGGGGCCGGCUGGGUAUCGCGUAUCCACGCUCUAUCUGCCGGUUCUGUCUGCACAUUACCCCUGUUUUUUGCGUACCUAUUGUUUCCUCGGCAGGCUUGCCUGCCAGUAGGACCCUUUUAAACUCUUUGUAUUAGCAGUCAGCGUCAAAAAAACAUUAAUCGUUACAACUUUCAACAACGGAUCUCUUGGUUCUG
Molecule: unclassified non-coding RNA, 234 nt
Filed under: rhizosphere metagenome
Description: partial ribosomal RNA internal transcribed spacer region
Source: RNAcentral